AUUCCUACGGGAGGCAGCAGUGGGGAAUUUUGGACAAUGGGCGCAAGCCUGAUCCAGCCAUGCCGCGUGAGUGAAGAAGGCCUUCGGGUUGUAAAGCUCUUUCGGCCGGGAAGAAAUCGCAUGGGCUAAUACCCUGUGCGGAUGACGGUACCGGCAUAAGAAGCACCGGCUAACUACGUGCCAGCAGCCGCGGUAAUAAU
This 200-nucleotide ribosomal RNA is filed under the name uncultured bacterium. RNAcentral's name for it is "partial 16S ribosomal RNA". It matches the Rfam family "Bacterial small subunit ribosomal RNA", at positions 335 to 526 of the family's 1533-position model. The record is from RNAcentral.